AUUGAACGCUGGCGGCAUGCUUUACACAUGCAAGUCGAACGGCAGCGCGGGCUUCGGCCUGGCGGCUGGUGGCGAACGGGUGAGUAAUGCAUCGGAACGUGCCCAGUAGUGGGGGAUAGCCCGGCGAAAGCCGGAUUAAUACCGCAUACGAUCUGAAGGUGAAAGCGGGGGACCGAAAGUGCUCGCGCUAUUUGAGCGGCCGAUAGUGGAUUACCUAGUUGGUGAGGUAAAGGCUUACCAAGGCGAUGAUCCGUAGCUUGCCUGAGAGGAGGACCGGCCACAUGGGGACUGUGACACGGCCGCACCGCCUACGGGAGGCAGCAGUAGGGAAUCGUCGGCAAUGGACGAAAGUCUGACCGAGCAACGCCGCGUGAGUGAAGAAGGGGGGCGGAUCGUAAAACUCGGUUGGUAGAGAAGAACGUUGGGGAGAGUGGAAAGCUCAUCAAGUGACGGGAACUACACAGAAAGGGACGGCUAACCACGUG
Molecule: ribosomal RNA, 485 nt
Filed under: uncultured bacterium
Lineage: Bacteria
Description: partial 16S ribosomal RNA
Rfam family: Bacterial small subunit ribosomal RNA
Source: RNAcentral